RNAcentral lists this ribosomal RNA (497 nucleotides) under uncultured bacterium. RNAcentral describes it as "partial 16S ribosomal RNA". It matches the Rfam family "Bacterial small subunit ribosomal RNA", at positions 28 to 507 of the family's 1533-position model. The record is from RNAcentral.
GAUGAACGCUGGCGGCGUGCCUAAUACAUGCAAGUCGAGCGAACAGACGAGGAGCUUGCUCCUCUGACGUUAGCGGCGGACGGGUGAGUAACACGUGGAUAACCUACCUAUAAGACUGGGAUAACUUCGGGAAACCGGAGCUAAUACCGGAUAAUAUAUUGAACCGCAUGGUUCAAUAGUGAAAGACGGUUUUGCUGUCACUUAUAGAUGGAUCCGCGCCGCAUUAGCUAGUUGGUAAGGUAACGGCUUACCAAGGCAACGAUGCGUAGCCGACCUGAGAGGGUGAUCGGCCACACUGGAACUGAGACACGGUCCAGACUCCUACGGGAGGCAGCAGUAGGGAAUCUUCCGCAAUGGGCGAAAGCUUGACGGAGCAACGCCGCGUGAGUGAUGAAGGUCUUCGGAUCGUAAAACUCUGUUAUUAGGGAAGAACAAAUGUGUAAGUAACUAUGCACGUCUUGACGGUAACUAAUCAGAAAGCCACGGCUAACUACGUG